RNAcentral lists this ribosomal RNA (575 nucleotides) under uncultured bacterium. RNAcentral describes it as "partial 16S ribosomal RNA". It matches the Rfam family "Bacterial small subunit ribosomal RNA", at positions 355 to 921 of the family's 1533-position model. The record is from RNAcentral.
UGGGGAAUUUUGGACAAUGGGCGAAAGCCUGAUCCAGCAAUGCCGCGUGUGUGAAGAAGGCCUUCGGGUUGUAAAGCACUUUUGUCCGGAAAGAAAUCCUUGGCUCUAAUACAGUCGGGGGAUGACGGUACCGGAAGAAUAAGCACCGGCUAACUACGUGCCAGCAGCCGCGGUAAUACGUAGGGUGCAAGCGUUAAUCGGAAUUACUGGGCGUAAAGCGUGCGCAGGCGGUUUGCUAAGACCGAUGUGAAAUCCCCGGGCUCAACCUGGGAACUGCAUUGGUGACUGGCAGGCUAGAGUAUGGCAGAGGGGGGUAGAAUUCCACGUGUAGCAGUGAAAUGCGUAGAGAUGUGGAGGAAUACCGAUGGCGAAGGCAGCCCCCUGGGCCAAAUACUGACGCUCAUGCACGAAAGCGUGGGGAGCAAACAGGAUUAGAUACCCUGGUAGUCCACGCCCUAAAACGAUGUCAACUAGUUGUUGGGGAUUCAUUUCCUUAGUAACGUAGCUAACGCGUGAAGUUGACCGCCUGGGGAGUACGGUCGCAAGAUUAAAACUCAAAUGAAUUGACGGGGUCC